CGCAAGACCAAAGAGGGGGACCUUCGGGCCUCUUGCCAUCAGAUGUGCCCAGAUGGGAUUAGCUAGUAGGUGGGGUAACGGCUCACCUAGGCGACGAUCCCUAGCUGGUCUGAGAGGAUGACCAGCCACACUGGAACUGAGACACGGUCCAGACUCCUACGGGAGGCAGCAGUGGGGAAUAUUGCACAAUGGGCGCAAGCCUGAUGCAGCCAUGCCGCGUGUAUGAAGAAGGCCUUCGGGUUGUAAAGUACUUUCAGCGGGGAGGAAGGUGAUGAGGUUAAUAACCUCAUCGAUUGACGUUACCCGCAGAAGAAGCACCGGCUAACUCCGUGCCAGCAGCCGCGGUAAUACGGAGGGUGCAAGCGUUAAUCGGAAUUACUGGGCGUAAAGCGCACGCAGGCGGUCUGUCAAGUCGGAUGUGAAAUCCCCGGGCUCAACCUGGGAACUGCAUUCGAAACUGGCAGGCUAGAGUCUUGUAGAGGGGGGUAGAAUUCCAGGUGUAGCGGUGAAAUGCGUAGAGAUCUGGAGGAAUACCGGUGGCGAAGGCGGCCCCCUGGACAAAGACUGACGCUCAGGUGCGAAAGCGUGGGGAGCAAACAGGAUUAG
RNAcentral lists this ribosomal RNA (606 nucleotides) under Enterobacter sp. JA39-2. Its description in RNAcentral is "bacterial SSU rRNA". It matches the Rfam family "Bacterial small subunit ribosomal RNA", at positions 194 to 781 of the family's 1533-position model. The record is from RNAcentral. Lineage: Bacteria; Pseudomonadati; Pseudomonadota; Gammaproteobacteria; Enterobacterales; Enterobacteriaceae.